RNAcentral lists this ribosomal RNA (467 nucleotides) under uncultured bacterium. Its description in RNAcentral is "partial 16S ribosomal RNA". It matches the Rfam family "Bacterial small subunit ribosomal RNA", at positions 28 to 507 of the family's 1533-position model. The record is from RNAcentral.
GACGAACGCUGGCGGCGUGCUUAACACAUGCAAGUCGAACGGAAAGGCCUCUUUCGGGGGGUACUCGAGUGGCGAACGGGUGAGUAACACGUGGGUAACCUGCCCUUGACUUUGGGAUAACUUCAGGAAACUGGGGCUAAUACCGGAUAGGAGCUCCUGCUGCAUGGUGGGGGUUGGAAAGUUUCGGCGGUUGGGGAUGGACUCGCGGCUUAUCAGCUUGUUGGUGGGGUAGUGGCUUACCAAGGCUUUGACGGGUAGCCGGCCUGAGAGGGUGACCGGCCACAUUGGGACUGAGAUACGGCCCAGACUCCUACGGGAGGCAGCAGUGGGGAAUAUUGCACAAUGGGUGGAAGCCUGAUGCAGCAACGCCGUGUGCGGGAUGGCGGCCUUCGGGUUGUAAACCGCUUUCGCUCAUGACGAAGCUUUGUGUGACGGUAGUGGGUAAAGAAGCACCGGCUAACUACGUG